Molecule: non-coding RNA, 79 nt
Organism: Triticum urartu
Lineage: Eukaryota; Viridiplantae; Streptophyta; Magnoliopsida; Poales; Poaceae
Source: Rfam
UUUUAUGAUGAUUUCAAAUUUAUCGCUCCAGUCUUAGGGUCCGUUUAGGUGGAUAUGUGCUGAUUGACAUACUAUUAAA